UACAGAGGGUGCGAGCGUUAAUCGGAAUUACUGGGCGUAAAGCGUGCGUAGACGGUUAAGUAAGUCAGGUGUGAAAGCCCCGGGCUCAACCUGGGAAUUGCAUUUGAGACUGCUUAGCUAGGGUGCGGAAGAGGGAAGCGGAAUUUCCGGUGUAGCGGUGAAAUGCGUAGAUAUCGGAAGGAACAUCAGUGGCGAAAGCGGCUUCCUGGUCCAGCACCGACGUUCAGGCACGAAAGCGUGGGGAGCAAACAGGGA
This 255-nucleotide ribosomal RNA is filed under the name uncultured bacterium. RNAcentral describes it as "partial 16S ribosomal RNA". It matches the Rfam family "Bacterial small subunit ribosomal RNA", at positions 524 to 778 of the family's 1533-position model. The record is from RNAcentral.